CAUUGUGACUUCGCCGCCGCCAGGCCCCGACCCCGGAAGUGCCCGCCCUUGCUUCCGGGGUGGUGGUGGUUAUCGCAGGGCGGAUCCCGGAGCUCCACCCUUUUGUUCUCAGACGUCGCCUGGAGAUCCGCUACGAAGCCUCAAUAAGAUGGGGGAGAUUACUGCAUGAGGUUCACAAUCCCAUUAUCUGUCAGCACGAGAGAUAAGAAGUGCCACCAGUGUCUCUGGGAAAUCAUUUUUCAGUAGCCAUAGUAGAAGGGGAAAAAAAGCACCCAGCCAGCCCAGCCGGUCACCAGGGGGCCAUUUACCGUUCGAUGCUGCCUUUCGGACGAUUUGGGAUGAGCAGAGCGGCCUUGGAGUGGCCAGAGCCGUGUCUGGAAAGUUCCUCGCCUCGGCGAGACCCCAGUCAGAGUCGCAGCUGUGGACGUGCCGGCUUUUAAUGGAGCGGCCGCCGCAGCGAUAAUGGAGCUCCUCUCCAUAAUGGCGGCCCCCGUGUUCCUGCAAGGCCAUCUUGCUGUGCCCAACAGACACGAUUGAUUGUAGGAUCAGACUUCCUGAACGGAGGCUUAGAAUCACGCAGACAAAGAACUGAAGGCUGGGCUUUGUCGCUGAGUAUCUGGCCGUGGGGAGCCCGCGGGGAGCCCGCGGGGGAGAGGCCCCAGGACGGGAGCCACAGACGGGCUCGCUCUGAAUGGAGCUUGUCUUUAUGCCCCGCACCGUGCCUGGCACUCCGCUUUGAAAUGAAUGCGUGUUGACUGACCCAUUGAGAAGGCAGGCACUAUCCUAUCGGUUAUGUGGGAGCACAGUACAAGUCACAAAUCCCCCGAACCUCAGUUUCUUCCUUUUAAGAUGCGAGAUAACAGGGGCAGCUGGAUGGCUCGGUGGAUGGGAGGUCCUGCUUCAAAACUGGCCUCAGGCAGCCCCAGCUGUGUGACCCUAGACAAGUCACUUAGCCCUCAUGCCCAGCUCUUACCAUUCUUCCGCCUUGAAGCCAGUACACAUGCUGAUUCUAAGAUGGAGGGUGAGGGUUAAAAAAAAGAUGGGAGAUGACAGCCAUGCCACUUUCUUCCCUCUAUUGCUUUAUGCAACUGAAGGGAUGAUGUAUGCCAGGGGCUCUGCAAACCCUUAAGCCCUAUUGAAAUGGCACCUGCCACUCAUCUGUCCUGACCUGCAGAAGUCCACAGCUCCAUUGUGGAUUCUUGUGGUUUCUGACAUAAUUUAUGCUGGCCAGUCCCUUCCCUUUCCAUGGGAAAGAACACUGUAUUUGGGAGGAUGGUGGGUGGAGAACUAAAUUCCACUUUCGUUUUUCCUGCUUGUUGCCUGGGCCUCCACAGGCAUAGAAUUUUGUUGACCUAGGCUUGUUAUUCUCCUUGAAAUAUAAGGGGUGCAAUCUUGACAUUAUGGCGCAAGACUGUCAUCUCUGCUAAAGGGGAGACUGAGGCUGGCGUGUCGUGUGGUGGACCCAGGAGUUCUGAGCUGCAGUGGCUGCUGUUCUCAUUCCCCGGCACUGAGUGGGCACUUCAGAAAUAUUUGUUGAAUUGCAACAACUUGAAAGUGAUUAUUUUAUUUCAUUAAACACCAUUGCAUUGAACUGAAAGGAAAACAGAAGCAGUGAAAAAUCAGGGCUAAUAAUUGCAUGAGAAAAGAGGCUCUUCGAUAAAGAAUAUUUGAUAAAGGUACCCACAACAGGAUGGUGAGUCUGUGUAAGGAGAGAACCACUAGACUGCUUAAAGAUGGGAAAACUGGCCCAAGCUGGAAAGAGAGCAGCUCAAAGCUUCCAUGCUGAUCAAUAGCAGGAAAGGGCACAGGAAUGGCUAUCAUACUUCCAGUAUGGGUGGGAUAAGGAGACCCAGGCUAAAUAAAUGAGACCUGGGUCGUAUGGUUUUUAAGAUUCCUUCCAGUUCUAGAGUUCAUGAAAGGAAGAAAAAUAGGCUUCCAUGUUUACAGGAAUAGACACAACCAUCAGUUUUCAAUUUCGUGAAUUCUCAGGCUUCUAGAUUUCCCCCUACAGGGAUGAGGACUAUGUAAAACCCUUUGUAAACUUUAAAGCUCUGUAUAAAUGCUAGCUAUGGCUGUUAUUAUGUUCUGGUGGGUGAAUCUAUCUUGGAAAGAGAGGACAGAAAGACAGCUCGUUUCCUCCUCUAUCAUGCAGUUAUUAUCUCUGAUUUUUCUCUGCUUCCCAUUUCCUUUCAGUUCAAUGGAAGUAUGUUCAAUGAAAUAAGAAAAGCAUUUUCAAGUCUAUGCAGUUCAAGAAUUAUUUCCAAAGUGCCCACUCUGUGCCAGGGCACGAGAACAGGAGAUGGUCUGUGCAAAGCUAUGAGAAGGAAGGAGUAAGUGUCAUUUGUCAUCUUGUGUUGGAACUGGCGAUUCCAAGGGCCUUGCUUGCAGUUUUGCACACACACAGCUCGUUUUCUUGUGAACUCUUCUUUUUGGGAGUUAAAAAACAACAGCUUCUCAGUCAUUUUCAAAGACGGUUUGAAAGAGGGCUGUCUCUCUUUCCUCUUGUUUUAGGAAAGUGCUCUGUACAUUAGCAAAGUGCUUUAAUAAGCCACAAAGUGCUCGAUUACACGCCUGGGCUGCCGAAGAAGUAAACAGCACUUUGCUUAACAGAAAAUUACAAACUUUCCUCCUUCUAAACAGAUCCUUGAUGCUGCCGCACUGUAUAUGGAGAACAAGAUUCAAGUUAAACCACUUCUCAGAUUUGAAAAAACCAAACCCUGGUUACUUUACAUGAUUUUUGCUGCUCCCUUUCCAUUUUAGUACUGAUAAUCUUCAAACCAACAAAAGUGCCUAAUUAUUUUUCCUACCUCACAAAAUGGGGGAAGCAUUACAAGGAGGUAAACAUAGUUUUGAUGUUGUUUUUUUCUCUCAUCUUCCUCCUUUCUCAAAUUCUCUGACAGCGUGUCUAUCAGAGAACACUUAAUUCUUGUCUUUUUCUUUUGUUUCUCCCACUAAAUUUAGGGAUAGGAGCUGGACUUGCCUUUUCAUUAAUUUAGAGCACUUCCAGGGGAGGAAACUAUUUACCUCUGCAGGUUGGACCAUGCUCUAAAACUUAUAGAUUUGGAGCAUAGCCCAGAACGGCGGAGAAGUGACUUGUCCAGAGUCACACAGGUAGGAAAUGUCCAAGGUGGGACCCAAACCCCAGGGCUUUGUGGCUCAGAUAGAGAUCGUGAUUUUACCUUUAGAAAUACCUGAUGUUUGGUGAUUCAGUUUCUAUUGAAAGGUGGGGAAUUCUUGGAUAACAAGUGUCUUGAGUAGAAAAUCACAUCACAAGGUGGCUCCUGGGGCUGGUAAAAGCCAUGGCAAAGGGCUGAAGUCAUGCGGUGGAGGGCAAGGUUCCUGGAAUUUGUACUGUGCUGUUACUUUGAGGUAUUUAGAUGGGGUGUGUCUGCUGGACAGUGGAGCUCCCGUUGAGCAUCCUUUCUGGGGAAUCCAAACCCUCAGAGAAUCUUUGGAGGGUGAAAGAGGACUCACUGAAUGUUGGAGGUUACCUCUCUCACAGCCUUAAGUGUUUCUCUUUCAAGGGAAGUCCAAACAACAGGGUGAUGAAAUGAGCCUGGAGGACGUUAGGACCAUGUGGAAAGUGGGACAAGCAGGAGAGAGGAGGGAGGUAUUGAUUGUUUGUGAUCUAUUAGUCUUUUAUAGGUUUUUUGCAUUGUUUAUGGGCUCUUAUGAACUCUGCAUUUUCUAUGAGGUGGAAUUAAGGAUGUCCUGUACUCAAUGCAUGCAUUGUUAACUUGAGUGCUUGUAUGGGGUCUAGGGAAUCUUUUUAUCCAUAUCUAUGAAGGUCUAUACACAAGCAAUAUUUGGAGAUUUUUUGGGGGUGGAUGAAUAAAGAGCCAAAGAAAGAUAGGGCAAGGAAAUCCCCAGAUUGAACCCCGUCCAUGCGAACUCAGAACUUGGGUCAAAUGGAACCUCUAGGUAUAAGAUUGGAACAACUCAAGGCAGCUUCCUUGCAAUGACUCAGUUCCAUUCACUCUCCCAAACACUGAAGUGUUUAGGGGCACAAAAGUGUGGAGUAGCUAGGAGCAGGGGAAUGCAGAGGUACAAAAAGAAUCAAAUAAAGGACCCUCCUUUCAAGGAGUUUACAUACUGCUGGGGCUGAAAAGAAGGCUCCAUGCCCCUUUGCUUAUGUGAGUUACAAGACAUCCAAAUAGUCUUAGGGAUGAGGAACAUGACCAGCAGAGCUAUGUUUGGAGAGGCUUAUCGCUAGAGAGCUGGCCACCAGGAAAACAAUGGACUACUCCACAGCCACUGGGCAAGACCAUCUCCUGAUGAUGUUUCUAAGCCCUUACUGUCUAUUUUAGAAUUGAUAUUAAGAAUCAGUUCCAAGACAGAAGAGUGGUAAAGGCUAGGCAAUUGGGGUUAAGUGACUUGCUCAGGGUCUCACAUGAAGGAAGUAUAUGAGGCCAGAUUUGAACUUAGGUCCUUCUGACUCCAAGCCUGGCUCUCUAUCCACUGUGCUACUACCAAGCUACUUUCCCUUAAUGAUUUGCUACCCACUUUGGUCAAAGCAGGGCCUCCAUCAGUGAUGACCUGGGAAUACAGCUGUUCCUGCAAGGCAUCAGGAAGUAAACCAGGCCAGAAUGAGGUUGGAUAUGUUUUUCCUUCAGAGGACUGAAAGGGGACACAAAAGGAAAGUAGAAGCUGGAAAGAGACCAAUUUGGACUUUAUGUCAAGAUGAAGGUCCUAACAAGUUCUUCUUCCUUAGGAGGCAGGGGCUGUCAUCUUGCUGCAGAUCCUUAAGGAAAGGCAUGUUGACUUGGGAAUUCUUUUUUGGGUAAAGUUCAGAAUAAAUGGACACCACCAGGGUCUCUUGGGUGCUGGGAUUCUAUGACUCAUUUCCAGCAAAUGAAUGAAUGUCCUUCCCUCACAUCUCUUGCUUCCCCAUCUUAGCCCCAAAUAUAAUAGACUGAUGGCUUUCUGGAAGGGGGAGCAUGAAGCUUCAGCACCAGUGACUCCUAGCAUGCUACUGACAGGAGCUAAUUGUAUUUAUAUUGCUGAAUAAAACCCAAGUAGAAAAAAUGAAAUUCCAGUUGAGGGAAUAAGAUCAAUUGGAUUGUGUAUGUUUCAAUGAAUGCAAUCCAUUUGUCAGUGGAGUGAAGCGAAGGAUGGAAAGACUGACCCUACUCCAGGAGGGGGCCAAUUGUACUUUUCUUCAAAAUACUGCAAACACAUCAACACAGAGAAUGGAUCUGAAUGAGGAAACUGAGUUUCAGAUUUUGCCCAAUACCCUUCCUGGCUGGGUAGUUGCAAAAUCUGAGGUCAGAGGACUUCGCUUUGGAUCCUGGCUCUUCUUUUUACAGUUUGUGUGAUAUUGAACAAAGGACCUCUGCUUUCUGAACCUUCAUUUCCCUACCUGUAAAGUGGGUAUAAUAAUGCCUGGAGUGCUUACCUCACAGGAAUGGGGACAGCCAAAUGGGAACAGUGAUAUGUAGAAUACUCAAGAUUAUAAAGCAUGAUGUAGGUCAGCUCAAUGGAUUGAGAGCCAGGCACAGAUGGGAAGUACUGGGUUCAAAUGUGGCCUCAGACACAUCCUAGCUAAGUGACCCAGGGCAAGUCACUUAACCCCCAUUGCCUAGCACUUACCAUUUUUCUGCCUCAGAACCAAUAGAUAAUAUUGAUUCUAAGACAUGGUAAGGGUUUUAAGAAAAUAUGAUGCAAAUUUUUGUUAUAAUAAUUAUGCUGAUAUAAUGGAUACAGAACUGAACUUGGGGUCAGGAAGACUGGAGUUGGAAUCCUACCUCAUUUUCUUGCUAGCUUUGUGACCCUGUGCAAGUCACUUAGCCUCUGACUCACUCUGACUACCACUACUACUAGUCUAGAAAAGGAAAGAGGAGAGGAGGAAAACAUGAAGACUAAAACUCAAAUCUCAGAACAUUCCUCCCACAAAUAGUUAUUUAUUUGAUUGUUUAUCUGUUUGUUUAUUCAUUCAUUCAUUCAUUUAUUUAAUAAUUUAUUUUUUAUGCAUUCAUUCAUUCAUUCAUUCAUUCAUUCAUUUGUUUAUUUAUUUAUGCCCUGACUUUCUGUCUUAGUAACAACUUUAAGACAGAAGGGCAAGGGCUAGGUAAACAGGGUUAAGUGACUUGUUCAGGGCCAAGUAGCUUGGAAGUGUCUGAGGCUAUAUUUGAGCCCAGAACCUCCCAACUCCAGGCCUGGUACUCUAUUUGCUCUAUCCACCCCUCAACAAAUAUUUGUUUAAUGCCUAAGUAUUGGGCCAGACCCAGUGCUAGGCACCAGGCACACAAAGGACUCCUGCUUCACCUCCUGUUUGCAUUCCAUAGCAUCCUUAUGAGUAGUAUUUCUUUUAUUUCAGGAUAAACAAAAUGCAGUUUUUCUGGAUCUGCAGGAUGCCAGCUCAUUUGGCUCCUUCUCUUUUUGGUUCUUAUGAGAUGCUAACAUGUGUUAGGUAGGCAGCAAUGAAUUUAAUUAUUGCUAAUAGCACAAAUUGGAAUUCUUUGUGGUGCCCAAAAUGUCAUGAUGUGAUAUUAGCUGUGAUAGUCCAUAUUUGGAAUUGUAGCACUGAUUGUUAAUAAAUCUUCCUUUUUGAUGAUAAUCACUCAUAAUUCUAUUAUGUUUUCCAUAUAAUAACUCUGGAAGGGACAUAGUAUGCUGUUGCCCUUUUAUAAAUGAGGAAGCUGGGGCACUAGGUGGCUCAGUAGAUAGAGAGCCAGGCCUGGAUGGGACAUCUUGGGUUCAAAUUUGGCCUCAGAUGCUUCCUAGUUGUGUGAUCCUGGGCAAGUCACUUAACCCCAUUGCCUAUCCCUUAUCACUUUUCUGCUUUGGAACUGACACUUAGUAUGGAUUCUGAGAUAGAAGGUAAAGGUUCAAAAAUAAGUGAGGAAGCUGAGGCUUGAUCAAGAAUACACCACUGGCAAGGACUGAAGCCUAAUAUUCUUCCCACCAUUGCACAAAGCCUUUUGACCAUAGAUUGAUGGAGCUAGAAGGAACCUUAGAGGCCACCUAGUCCAAUGCCCAGGAGUCAGAGUUCUCUUGCCCAUAUUCUCCCAGCCAGUCAGUGGCAGAGUUCCUCUUCUGGUUCUCAGCCCAGUUACCUACAGCUGGAAGAGCUCUUGGAGACUGUUUGGGUCCGGGAAGCUCCCCAGGCAUUUACACAUGAGAAAAGUAGGGCCCGUGGAGAAGUGACUAGCUCAAGAUCUUACCGACACUCAGAAGUAGAGCUGGGAUUCAAACCUAGGUCUUCUGAUCCCCAAACCCAGAUUCUCGCAGAAUCUCAGAAUCUGAAGAGUCCUCAGAGUCUAGUCCAAACUAUAUCAGAGCAAGAGUCCCCAUGUGACCUAGCUGAUGAGUGUCCACCUCAGUUUUGUCGAUCUGCCUCCUGAAUUAACCUACCCCAUCUUCAGAUAAAUCUAAUUAAGAAGAAAGCUUUGCUUACAUGAACCCAAAAUUUGUCCUGCAAACCUUCUCCCCACCACCUAUUGCUGUUGCUUCUGCCCUCUGGGGCCAAGUCGAAGCAAUCGAUGUCUGUUUUCUGUGAAAGUCCCUCAGAUAGUUGAAGGAAGCCCUCAUAUUCCUGACUCACGUACCUUCUCUUAGGUGAAUACCUUAUGGUUAAUCGCAUGGCAUCAUCUUGAUAUCCUCCACCAUCACAGCUGCUCUCCUACUCUGGACAUUAUCUAGCUAAUAAAUGUUCCUACUGAGUAUAGUUCCUAGGACUGAAUACAAUCCUUCAAGAUGUUGUCAAACUAGGGCAGAAUAUGGAGGAGCUCUGUAUACCUUCCUUCCCUAAUCCUGGAUGGAGCAAUACUUUAAAUCGAGGCUAAAAUCAUCGUUGUUGUUUAGUCAUUUUUCAGUCAUGUCUGACUUUUCAUGAUCUCAUUAGGAUUUUCUUGGUUUACCAUUUCCUUCUCCAACUCAUUUUACAGAUGAGGAAUGUGAAGCAGACAGAGUUAAAUGGUUUGCCCAGGGCCACAUAGCUAGUUAAGUAACUGAGGCCAGAUUUGAAUUUAGGAAAUGAGUCUUCUUGCCUCCAGGUCUGGCACUCUAGCUACUGUACCACUUGACUACCCCAGGCAGAGAUUACAUGAGCUUUUUGGCUAAUAUUCCAUAUUGUUGACUUAUAGUGAGCCUGUAGUUCACUAAAAUCCCUGAGUUUUUUCAGAUUAAAAAGCGAUGCCAUGGGCAGUUAGAUGACCCUCAUUGCCUAGCCCUUACUGGUUUUUUGGUCUUGGAACCAAUAAUGAUCCUAAGAUGGAAGGUAAGGGUUUAAAAAAACAACCACGUCUCCUCCAUCUUAAUCUUAUACUUGUGCAUGACUGUAUAUGUCCCCAUUCAAUUUCAUUUCAGUUGAUUUAACACAAUGUUCUAGAAUCUUUUCCAUAAUCUUUUGGAAUCUUGAGUUUACCGUACAGUAUUCUAGUAAUCAUUCUCAGCUUUAGUUAGUCCACAAAUUUGAUAAUCAUGCUAUCUAUGCUUUUAUCCAAGUAAAUAGAAAAAUGUUUAAUGACACAGGCCAGUUAUAGAUACCUGAAGAACUUUGCUGGUAACCUUUCAAGUUGACACUGAACCAUUAAAGAGUACUUUUUGUGUCCAGUCAUUCAGCCAGUUCCAAAUCCACCCAACUUUUCUGUUGUCUAGGCUAGAAUCUCCAUCUUUUCUGUAAGAAUAGUACCAGAAUGGGGUAACCUCCUUGCCUCAACUGGUGUAGUCAGAGAAGGCAGGUACCUCAAUUAAAUCAACCACUUAAUUCCUAAACGAACUUUCCUGUCCUCUGCCGUCUUUCAUAGCUCAUGGACAAUGGCUCAGCAGUCAUACCCACUGGCUCUUCCAGUACUCAAAAUGUUGUUCAUCUUGGCCAGGCAACUUGAACUCACCAGGGGACACUGUGUUCUGCUAUCACAUCCUUACUUGCCUUGUACAAAUCAGCAACUUUUGAGGUUUGGGGGGGCUAUCCUUCCCAGAAAAAGAGUUGAGCAAUUUUGCCUUCACUGUGCCAUCAACACCCAUUGGCUCAUUCAGCCUGAGCACCCACAUCCUAGUCAUUUUUUAUCUGCCUCGAUUCCCAAGCCCAACUAAAAAGAUGUUUUGUUGUCUUUACUAUUUGUUCCCCAAUACAGCCUGUUCUUUAUGGCUAUGGUAAAAUGGCCAUUCAGCAGCUACCCUUGGCGUAUGCCUCCUGGCUUCAUGUCCAAAUGAGAGCAAUGGUCCUGGAAAGAACCCUAAGAAAAGAAGACUGAAAAAAGUCUCAACUGGGGAUGCUUAGCCUGGAGGAAAGAAGUGUCAGGGACAUGCUAGCUGUCUUCAAGUCUCAGAAGGGCUGUCAUGUGGAAGAGGGAUGAGAUGUGUGGACUUGAGAGCAGAUUUGAGUUGUUCCAAAUAGAAUGGACUACUUUGGGAAGUAGAGAGUGGAUUCUUCCAUUAUUGGAAGAAGGUAGAUGACUCUCUUUUUGUCAGAUAUGCUAGAGAGAAGGGUCUUACCAGUGGUGUUCUGGAACCAAACUUGAACUGGCUUGUGAGAGCUGAUUGUUAAAUUUUCUGAGUGAGCAUUUCAACUUUGGAAAUUGGCUGAUGCUAUAAACAGUGUUUAGUUUCUUGUUUUGUUUAUAACCUAUAACCAAGAACGGCAAUGGAGAAAAUAUUAAUAAUGCAGAUUAAGAUGAAAAGUUUUUCAUGUGCAUAUUCCUUCUUUCCCCCCCACCCUGUGAAAGUUGGUUGUUAAACAUUCAUCAGCACACCAUUGGCUUUUACUCAGAUCUGGUCUAGUCUAGAUGAUGUCUGACAUUCCUCUCAAUACAGAAACUCUGAAUAAUAUGUCUGUUUUCCCAUUAUACUUUCAAGGCUCUAUAGUAAUUCUGUAGCAACACACUGUAAUGGGCAUGUCCCUAAGACACUGGAAUUUGAAUGGGUGAACUUUAAGUCUUUUCUCAUCAAAUGUAAUUUGCCUGACAGAAUUUGGUGGCCUCAAACAAAGUCUGAUGUGCAAAGGGAAAAUGAAAAUCUUGACCUGUCAGAAGGCAAAUCAUUGCUCUGAGUUUAAUAGCCAUUGACAGAGAAGGGGCCAGUGGGCUGGAAGGAAGAUCAUCUUUUAGCCAAAAGCAUCAUCCAGUUUGAAAUUAAAAACAAAAAAGAUUCUAUUAAGUUAAAACAGCUGGAAAACAAAAUCUAAUAAAGAAAAAAUGCUUGAUUUCAAUGAUUUGCUUUUGGAGGGCCAGUGGACCCUUCAGUGCACAUGUGACUAGAAUGACUAAGCAUCAGGUGUUUGACUUUAAGUAUAAAUGGAUAUUUAUUGACAAAAGUCAAUCUAGAAAGAGGCAGAGUCAACUUAUAGCUUUUAAGUUUAUUGCCUUUCCCUGCCAGCCCAAAUUUCAUGCCUUCUUUUCUGAUUUUUAUGAUCAUGUGUGGGUGUAGACAGAAAGAGCUAUCACAGACAGAGGUAUAGACAACUGGAGAAACCGAACAGCACCAUUUGGCCAGAUGCAUUUGUAUUGCUGAAGAUGAUGAAGAAAAAGUUUGGGCUGCUGUGGCAGUUUUCGGACCUUUGAGGGAGACGGGUGUACUUCUAUUUAGGCAACAUUUUCAGAUGGAGAAAUCAUCUUAACCAUUUCUAAACUCCUUGUGAAAAUCUCUCCUUUUCCUGAAUGAGCUGUCUUGUUCUAAGGGUUUUUUUUAAUUUGCAAUUUUGCUUCUAAAGAGAACCUAGAAGAGAUCAUUGUAAUAAUAAUCAAUCAACAAGCAAGUAUUUUUAAGAACUCACUAUGUGCCUGGGAGAGAGCUGUCUUGGAUUGAGAAAUUACCUUGGGGUUAGGAAGACCUGGGUUUAGAUCCUGCCUCUGAACAUAUUCUUUCCAUGUGACUCUGGGCAAGUUGGCUAACCUCUCCCUGUCCCAAACAACUUUGAUACUGUAAUUUGCAUGAAAUAUUAGAACUGGAGGGCAAUUCUGAGGCUCUCUUGUCCAACUUGGCCAUUUUACAGUGGAAGAGACUGAAGGUUUAAGGGAUUACUCAGCUAGUGACAGAGAGAGAAUUCAAAACCAGAUUCUUGGUCUUUUUUUACUGUUAGGUUCUGUGGCUAUGAAGCAAAACCAACCGGUCCCUGUUUUCAGGAAGUUUACCUACUAUUGGAAGGAGAUAACAUUAACAUAAAUAAAUUGGUAUAAAGUAAUUGGAAGAGAGAGAGAGAGAGUAGUAUAUCCUAAGAAUUAGGAGGACAAGGAAGGGUUUUCCAAAGCUGCUAUUGUUGUGAGGAUCAAAUGAGAUAAUAUUUAUAAUAAGCAGUUAGUGGAAGGCCUGGCACAUCAACAAAUGCUUAUAUCCCAAAGAGAUUUUUAAAAAAGUGUGUGUGUGAGUGGGAAGGACCUACUUGUACAAAAUUAUUUAUAGCAGCCCUUUUUGCAGUGGCAAAGAAUUGGAAAUUAAGUGGGUGUCCAUUAAUUGGGGAAUGGCUGAACAAAUUGCGGUACAGGUUGGUGAUGGAAUGCUAUUGUGCUAUCAGAAUGAUGAGGAGGAUGAUUUCAGAAAGAGCUGGAAAAACCUCCAUGAACUGAUGCAGAGUGAAAUAAGUUGAACCAGAAGAACAUUGUACACAGUAACAGCAAUGUUGUGGAAUGAUCAUCUGUGAAAGACGGUUUCUCUCAGUAAUAUAAUGAUCCAGGACAAUUCUGAGCCACCUAUGACCAAGAACACUAUCUACCUCCAGAGAAAGAACUGUGGGAGUCAGAAUGCAGAGCAAAGCAUAAGAGUUUUCACUUUAGUUUAUUUGGGUUUUUAUUUUUGCGUUUCGGUUUUGUGUGAUUAUUCUCCUACAAAAAUGAACAAUAUGGAAAUCUGUUUUGCCUGACAAUACAUGUAUAAUCCAGACCAAAUUGUUUGCCAACUCCAGGAGUGGGGAAGGAAGGGAGGGAAACAAUUUGGAUCAUAUAACUUCAGAAAACUUAUGUGGAAAAUUGUUAUUAUAUGUAACUGGUAGAAUAAAAUAUCUUUACAAAAAU
Molecule: long non-coding RNA, 11948 nt
Organism: Monodelphis domestica (gray short-tailed opossum)
Lineage: Eukaryota; Metazoa; Chordata; Mammalia; Didelphimorphia; Didelphidae
Source: RefSeq, a predicted model, not a curated record